GACGAACGCUGGCGGCGUGCUUAACACAUGCAAGUCGAGCGAGGUCCGCUCGGGUGGCAACACCGGGGAAGACCUAGCGGCGAACGGGUGAGUAACACGUGAGCAACCUGCCCCGAAGACUGGGAUAACACCGGGAAACCGGUGCUAAUACCGGAUGUCCUCAUUGGGUCGCAUGGUCCGAUGAGGAAAUGGAUUCCGCUUCGGGAGGGGCUCGCGGGCUAUCAGCUUGUUGGUGAGGAACGGCUCACCAAGGCUACGACGGCUAGCUGGUCUGAGAGGACGACCAGCCACACUGGGACUGAGACACGGCCCAGACUCCUACGGGAGGCAGCAGUGGGGAAUCUUGCGCAAUGGGCGAAAGCCUGACGCAGCAACGCCGCGUGGGGGAUGAAGGCCUCGGGUCGUAACCCC
This 411-nucleotide ribosomal RNA is filed under the name uncultured bacterium. RNAcentral's name for it is "bacterial SSU rRNA". It matches the Rfam family "Bacterial small subunit ribosomal RNA", at positions 28 to 432 of the family's 1533-position model. The record is from RNAcentral.